CAAGGAGGUACAACUCAGACUUCCUGUGAGGGGAGUGGGGGCUCAGCCGUGGGUGAGUUAUCAUCUAAUCACACGUGUUGAGAAGCUGAGGUGCUGACGACUGUGAAGCCUCUCCUUCAAGACGGGGUUUCUUUUAGGGCAGCAUUAUUACUAAUACCUUCACUCUACAGCUUUUUGCAGUCCUGGGCGCCACGGUGAGCAAACACAUUUCCUGGGCAGCGUGGAAGGCACAUAGCAGAUAGCUAGCAGUUGUGUGCAAAAUGGACUGUGAAAUACACCAUCUUGGAACAGGCACAUAACUGGUCUAAGCAGUCUCCACAGACUGAAGCUGCUAGUCACUGAACCAGGACUUAAGGGCCCGCCUCUGUGCUCAAACAUCCCCCACAAUUACAGAUUAAAAACAACCCUUCCUUCAUGGCUGCAAGUGCAGGGAAACACAGAGUUGCCUGAAGAUCUGAAUGCGGCAUGAAACGUUCUCAGAGUUCAAGGUCUUGGAACAGAUCGUUCAUGAAGCCAGUCUUAUGAUUCACAGUCCUGGGUUCACUCUGUGGUCAAACCAGAAAAAAAUUAGAAGGAAGCCAGGUAUCUGGAAUGAAUUAACUCCCCCUCCCUUCCUCCCGCUUGCCCUCCUUCCCUCUUCUCCUUUCCCUUUCUCUUCCUUUUUCUCUCUCUCCCUCUCUCCUCUUUCUCUUUCUAAUUAUGAGGAGUACUGGAAAUUCAAACAGCUGGACCUUACAAUCAAACCUCUGUAUCUGAAUUUUCCACACCAAUGGUUCCAACGAUAAGGAACAAAAAUCUUUGGGAAGAGCAUCAGGACUGAAGAUGGAAGAAUCUCUACUUGUCCUCAUCCCCGAGGCAUGGCAUUCCCAGGUUCCAGCUGUGACCUCCUCCCUGCAGAUGCAGGCAGAAGAUGGUGUUAUGACAGAGGCGUUUUGCAGUGAUAAUGGGACCAGGUUCAUCUGGAGUUAGUGCUGCCCCUUCCUAAAGGGUUUCUGUUGCUGCGAACAGACAUCAUGACCACAGAAGCACUUAGAAAGGAAACGUUUCAUUUGGGUGGCUUACAGCUCAGAGGUUCAGUCCAUUAUCAUCAUGGUGGGACAUGGCAGCAUGCAGGCAUCAUGGAGGCAGACACGGUGCUGGAGAAGGAACUGAGAGUCCUACAUCUUGAUCCACAGAUGCUGUGUUUACAGGCAUGUGCAGCCAUGAUCAGCUUUUUACGUGGGUGUUGGGGAGUCAAACUGGAGUCCUCAUGUUUGUAGAGCAAUUGGUUGAGCCAGAAGCACUGGGAACAAUGUGAAUUUGCAACCGAGAUCUAAAGGAAGCACGAACAGCAUUGUGGGAUUGAUUCCUGAGCCUGUUGGAUCUGUGCUGAUGCCAAGUAGCUAGAACUGUAUGAACUAUAAUUAUUUGCUGAAAACCGUGUACAAGUUUCCAGCUUUUUAAAGAUUUCAGUUCAGUAGUGGUAUGGGUUUUACCCCUUUACUUAGCCUUCAUUCUUUUGCUUUUCAAAGUUUUACUGAGGCAUUUUUGACAAGCAAUAAACUGAGCAUACUCAAAGUCUGCAGUCAGCCCUCCGUGUCUGUAGGCUUUGUAAAUUCAAACCACUAUGAAUUGGAAAUAUUUUUUAAUUGCGCCUAUGCUGAAUUCGUACCGACCCUGUCCCCUUGUGAUCGUUCCCUAAACAAGACAUUUCCACUAAUGCUAUUUACAUAACAUUUACAAUACAUUAGGCAUUAUGAUUAUGAUUAGAGGUGGGUUCAAGAACAAGGAAAGAGAUGGCUAAAUUAUAUGCAAGUAGAACAACAUGUUAUAAAUGUCUUAAACAUUUGCAGGCUUUGGUAUCCAUUGGGGGUUUCUGGAACCAACCACCUGUGGCUAGUGAGGGACAACUGCCAUUCAACAAGUGUUUGCAUACGUCUACAUCAAGAAACCACUAGUUCCAUUAAGAUAAUGAGCUUACUUGUUAC
RNAcentral lists this long non-coding RNA (1967 nucleotides) under Cricetulus griseus (Chinese hamster). Its description in RNAcentral is "lncRNA (ENSCGRG00015040493.1)". Lineage: Eukaryota; Metazoa; Chordata; Mammalia; Rodentia; Cricetidae. The record is from RNAcentral.